This 71-nucleotide transfer RNA is filed under the name Bos taurus (domestic cattle). It matches the Rfam family "tRNA". From Rfam's summary of the family: Transfer RNA (tRNA) molecules are approximately 80 nucleotides in length. Their secondary structure includes four short double-helical elements and three loops (D, anti-codon, and T loops). RNAcentral also lists the same sequence under 2 other names. The record is from Rfam by way of RNAcentral. Lineage: Eukaryota; Metazoa; Chordata; Mammalia; Artiodactyla; Bovidae.
UCCCCAGUGGCUCAGCAGUAAAGAAUCUGCCUGCAAUGCAGGAGACCCAGGUUUGGCUCCUGGGUUGGGAA